GGAGAGAUGGCUCAGCGGUUAAGAGCACUGGAUACUCUUCCAGAGGACCUGGGUUCAAUUCCCAGCACCC
This is a non-coding RNA of Neotoma lepida (desert woodrat), 70 nucleotides long. The record is from Rfam. Lineage: Eukaryota; Metazoa; Chordata; Mammalia; Rodentia; Cricetidae.